This 320-nucleotide ribosomal RNA is filed under the name uncultured eukaryote. Its description in RNAcentral is "partial 18S ribosomal RNA". It matches the Rfam family "Eukaryotic small subunit ribosomal RNA", at positions 1470 to 1796 of the family's 1831-position model. The record is from RNAcentral.
CCCUUAGAUGUUCUGGGCCGCACGCGCGCUACACUGAUUCAUGCAACAAGUUUUGUCCUUGGCUGAUAGGCCUGGGUAAUCUUUGAACGCUGUUCGUGAUUGGGAUAGACCUUUGCAAUUAUGGGUCUUCAACGAGGAAUUCCUAGUAAACGCAAGUCAUCAGCUUGCAUUGAUUACGUCCCUGCCCUUUGUACACACCGCCCGUCGCACCUACCGAUUGAAUGGUCCGGUGAAAUCUCGGGACGGCGGCUUGGUCGCUUGCGUCCGACUGCUGAAACUUGAUUAAACCAUAUCAUUUAGAGGAAGGUGAAGUCGUAACA